UUCGACGAGUGAAGGCGAUCGCUGGCCGGGCCUCGGCCCGACGAGAGGAAAGUCCGAGCUCCGCAGGGCAGGAUGCUGGGUAACGCCCAGUGGGGGUGACCCCGAGGAAAGUGCCACAGAAAGCAAACCGCCCUGCCGCGGCCGCACGGCCGUCGCAGGGUAAGGGUGAAAGGGUGGAGUAAGAGCCCACCGCGUCUUCGGCGACGAAGGCGGCAUGGCAAACCCCAUCCGGAGCAAGGCCACAUAGGGAGGCGAUGCCGGCGAAAGCCGGUGAGAGGGCGGCCCGCCCGAGCUUCCGGGUAGGCCGCUCGAGGGUCUCGGCAACGAGGCCCCUAGAUGAAUGAUCGCUGCCGCCGCGGGGGUGACCCCUCGGCGACACAGAACUCGGCUUACGACCCGUCGAACCGC
RNAcentral lists this RNase P RNA (408 nucleotides) under Polyangiaceae bacterium. RNAcentral's name for it is "RNase P RNA component class A". It matches the Rfam family "Bacterial RNase P class A". From Rfam's summary of the family: Ribonuclease P (RNase P) is a ubiquitous endoribonuclease, found in archaea, bacteria and eukarya as well as chloroplasts and mitochondria. Lineage: Bacteria; Pseudomonadati; Myxococcota; Polyangiales; Polyangiaceae. The record is from RNAcentral.